AGAACCUGGAGGGAGAGGUCACAGCAGGUUACGGCGACCCUCUCGGGUUCACAGCUCUGGGACAGAAGAGGGGGUGGCAGUGAAUGGAGCCAGUUCUCAAAGUCCACAUCACAACACACCUGCUCGUCACAGCAUAGGUGGAGUUCCCAGCAGUAAUCAGGAAUACCCAGGGGUUUCUGGAGCCUCAAGCCGUUCUACCACUCCCAUCCAUCUCAUUGCUGAAUUCUUCCACCCAGCUGCUGCGGCCCUCCCGGCACCCCCGAGAGGCCGACCGGGACACAAACCAAGAGGGCUCCGGCUAACUUCCCCAGCCUCAUGGGCAUCUCUACGCUCUCCUGGAGCAAACACCAGGCUGCUCACCACACAGUAUUCAUCUCACAGUGACUCCUCCCUGGCUACGGGCAGCUCAG
This 410-nucleotide long non-coding RNA is filed under the name Sinocyclocheilus grahami. RNAcentral describes it as "lncRNA (ENSSGRG00000014921.1)". The record is from RNAcentral. Lineage: Eukaryota; Metazoa; Chordata; Actinopteri; Cypriniformes; Cyprinidae.